Molecule: small RNA, 127 nt
Filed under: Marmota monax (woodchuck)
Lineage: Eukaryota; Metazoa; Chordata; Mammalia; Rodentia; Sciuridae
Source: RNAcentral
UCCGGGCAUGGAGGUGCAUGCCUGUAAUCCUAGUGGCUUGGGAGGCUGAGGCAGGAGGAUCGUGAGUUCAAACCCAGCCUUAGCAACUUAGUGAGGCCCUAAGCAACUCAGUGAGACCCUGUCUCUG